Molecule: ribosomal RNA, 617 nt
Filed under: Xiphonectes aff. longispinosus UF 10477
Lineage: Eukaryota; Metazoa; Arthropoda; Malacostraca; Decapoda; Portunidae
Description: Portunus aff. longispinosus UF 10477 partial 16S ribosomal RNA
Rfam family: Archaeal large subunit ribosomal RNA
Source: RNAcentral
GUCUGGCCUGCUCAGUGACAUUAAGAUGUUAAAUAGCCGCGGUAUCUUGACCGUGCAAAGGUAGCAUAAUCAUUAGUUUUUUAAUUGUAAACUGGUAUGAAUGGUCGAACAAAGGAAUAACUGUCUUUUUUAUUAAAAUUGAAUUUAACUUCUGAGUGAAAAGGCUUAGAUUACCUAGAGGGACGAUAAGACCCUAUAAAGCUUUAUAAGUUUAGAAAUUUUAAAUAUAUUAAUAAUGACUUUUUUUUUCAAAAACUUAUUUAGUUGGGGCGACGAAGGUAUAAAAAAUGGUAACUGCCACCUUAGGCAUACAAUAGUGAUUGUUUAAAUGAUUCUAGUUGAUCCUUCAUAAAGAUUAAAAGAACAAGUUACUUUAGGGAUAACAGCGUUAUUUCUUCUGAGAGUCCUUAUCAAAGAAGAAGUUUGCGACCUCGAUGUUGAAUUAAGAGAUUCUUCAUAGUGCAGCAGCUAUGUCAGAGGGUCUGUUCGACCCUUAAUAUCUUACAUGAUUUGAGUUCAGACCGGCGAGAGCCAGGUCGGUUUCUAUCUUCUAGAUUAAAGAAGAUUAUUUUAGUACGAAAGGAUUAAAUAAUCAAAAGUAUUUUAUGAGUUGUAAU